RNAcentral lists this long non-coding RNA (472 nucleotides) under Salvia miltiorrhiza (redroot sage). RNAcentral's name for it is "long non-coding RNA (SMIL_LNC004476)". The record is from RNAcentral. Lineage: Eukaryota; Viridiplantae; Streptophyta; Magnoliopsida; Lamiales; Lamiaceae.
UCUGCUUUUACAUUGUGCAAUAAAUCAAAAUUUCUAAUUUUAUUUCAAAAUUACUAAAACUCUAGUUAAAUUAUAUAAACCAUGAGUUCUAAUUAUGAGUUGUAUUUAAAAGAGCAGAAGAAGAAUUUAUUAAUUUAAAAGAAGAAAAGGGACGAAAUAAGAAGAAGAAAAGAAAAAACAAAAGUAGAAGGAACGUAAUAAGAAAAAAAUAGAAAAGAUGUGCCAAAACAAUGAAGAAGAAAAAAAGAAAAAUAAAAUAAAAUAAAAUAAUUUUAAAUUUUAUCAACGAUUCAAAAUGUUAAUACGAUUCAAAAUUUAAAGAAUUCCCAAUUUAUCUAUUAAUUAACUAACAACUCACAUGAUCUCCUCUCUCUCUCUCUAUAUAUUUUUUUUAGAUAGGAUCCUAAUAAGGGUGAUUCUAUACAUAACCCCCAUUUUACUCAGCCCCCAUUUUAAUAAAAUAAUAAAAACA